Molecule: ribosomal RNA, 772 nt
Filed under: Candidatus Saccharimonadota bacterium
Lineage: Bacteria; Candidatus Saccharimonadota
Description: bacterial SSU rRNA
Rfam family: Bacterial small subunit ribosomal RNA
Source: RNAcentral
UUAUGGAGAGUUUGAUCCUGGCUCAGGAUGAAUGCUGGCGGCGUGCCUAAUACAUGCAAGUCGAGCGGAAACAUGGAUAGCUUGCUAUCUGAUGUCGAGCGGCGGACGGCUGAGUAACGCGUGGGAACAGACCCCAAACUGAGGGAUAACUAGUCGAAAGAUUAGCUAAUACCGCAUGUGAUCUUCGGAUUAAAGUCUUCGGACGGUUUGGGACUGGCCUGCGUACGAUUAGAUAGUUGGUGAGGUAACGGCUCACCAAGUCGACGAUCGUUAGAUGGUUUGAGAGGAUGAUCAUCCAGACUGGGACUGAGACACGGCCCAGACUCCUACGGGAGGCAGCAGUAGGGAAUCUUUCACAAUGGGCGAAAGCCUGAUGGAGCAACGCCGCGUGCAGGAUGAAGGCCUUCGGGUCGUAAACUGCUUUUAUAAGCGAGAAAUAUGAUGGUAACUUAUGAAUAAGGAUCGGCUAACUACGUGCCAGCAGCCGCGGUCAUACGUAGGAUCCGAGCAUUAUCCGGAGUGACUGGGUGUAAAGAGUUGCGUAGGUGGAUAUUUAAGUAGCUAGUGAAAUUUGGUGGCUCAACCAUUCAAACUGUUAGCUAAACUGGAUAUCUCGAGAGCGUCAAGGGUAACUGGAAUUUCUAGUGUAGGAGUGAAAUCCGUAGAUAUUAGAAGGAACACCGAUAGCAUAGGCAGGUUACUGGGGCGUUUCUGACACUAAGGCACGAAAGCGUAGGGAGCAAACGGGAUUAGAUACCCCGGUAGUCUACGC